Molecule: long non-coding RNA, 393 nt
Filed under: Numida meleagris (helmeted guineafowl)
Lineage: Eukaryota; Metazoa; Chordata; Aves; Galliformes; Numididae
Description: lncRNA (ENSNMEG00000010681.1)
Source: RNAcentral
UUUUUUUAUUACAGCCUAUAAAGAGAACAAUACUGUAAAAACAUUUUUGUUCAGUGAAGCAUUGUAAUUUCAGUGUGAAUUACUAGAUUGAAGUGUCCCGUGAUUCAUUCAGUUAUUUGCCUUGCUGGUUGCUGUGCUGUGACAAUCCUGUGCUCUGAGGUGUGUCCCGACCAGGACAACCAUGAGCUGGAUGUGUGAUGUGGAUAACUGCAGCUUGUGAAUUGCAUCAGCAUGCAUUGCACAUACAAGUAAGCAAGCACAAGAGGAAUCCUCAGUCAUGAAGCCUACAAUGCAGCGUUUUCCUACCCAGCACUUUGGUGGUGCCAGUGCACUUUGGUCGUAGCACAGACUUUGCUCUCAUUAAGCUCAAUAAACUUCGAGUAGGCAACUGCA